AUGCGCAGAGUAGUGAAAAAGUUGAGUUGCCUGGCGUGCGCAUGCCCAGCUGACGUGGACCAAGGCGCGGGGAGACGCAGCCUUCCUGUUUUAGCUCUUGUUCUGUAAAUGAGUGUUCUUUCCGUGGUUUUUUGGGGUGACGUGUUCAGCAUUUUGGGGCUGUUUGAUGAUUCGCUGAUUGGUAUGGACCCGAAGGGCAGUACUGAAGUGCCAACUGGUGUUCCCGAGUGUGAGAACGCUGUGAUGCGCCCGCAGAGGAAAGUCCUGUGUAGAUCUCAGCUGAAAUGCCAGCUCCUGAUAGAAAGCAUUCCCACUCAAUGCCUUCCUUCAAAAGGAGUAUAUUGAGAAGGAAGCUGUGAACCUUUUACAAUGGAAGUAGGGAUUAUGGGAAAGCACAGGAGGAUAAGAAAGGAGUGCAGAUCCCAAGAUUUUGUGCACAGUGUUAGAAAUAUUACCCUCUGAAUUUGAAGCAAUGGAAGUUAACAUCAAAUGGGAGAGUUAACAUCACCUGGAAGAAAUUAGCCAUCUGAAGCGUCUAGAUACCCCUGGAUGAACAAAUUAAAUUGACUUUCCAGUAUGACAAGAGUCGAGGACCUGAUCCAGACUUGUCUGCGCCAGUGGGUCCACACUCGGUGAACAGCCUAUCAGAUUGCUUCUCAUCAGUUUAAACUACAAUUGUCAUGGAAUGAUAAUCAUUAUGAGUAAACUGUCUUUUCAUUUCCCAGGUAGCUCAGAAUUAUGAUCAAAUAAUGUUCUCUUUUUGGCAGACUACUUCACUAGAUGAUACAUAGGAAUUUCUUGCUAGAUGUACAUUUCUAGGUGCAUGAUUAAUCUUUCCUUGAUGUUUUUAAUAUCAUUAUUGCUGAUGUGAAAUCUGUAUGGUUUUAUUUAUUUUGAGGCAUUCUCGGUAAUGUUAUCACUGAGAGGAAUAGAUUUAAUAAACUGUUCAUUAUCUCAUGACAUGUGAGAUGGAGUGAAAACAUAGGUAAAAUUGGAUCACAUUUAAGGCUACCUCUGAAAGCAAUACUAAGAUUAUAUUCCUGUGGAAAAAUGGAAGGUGUUUGCAAAUAUCUUGUUUUUCUAUAAAUAGCACUGCAGUUUGCUGGAAAGAUCUCAAAAGCACAAAAUAGAUUAGUUCACUGUUGAAGAAUUUAACUAAAUUUAACUAAAACGACACAUAAAUAUCUGGGAAGGAAAUGUGAAUUUGGUUCAAGGAGAAUGAAGACAGACAAAAGAAUCCUGCAAAGGAUAGCUCCGAUAAUAACAACAGUGCAAAUAAAUGAAAGGAAAUAAGCAGAGUCAGGUCGAAAAGGUUUAGGAAUUUAAGUGAGUUGUUUCCAAAAAGAAUGCUAUGUAAGUGAGCAAGCAAAGGUUCCAGCUGUCCUCGUAGAUUCCAGUUUGUCCUAGUCAGUUUCCGUUGACAUUAUGAGUCUGCUCUUCCCCCAACAUCCUCCCUGGUCGCUUAUCUGGCUGAUCUGCAAUGACUUCCGGCUGAAUUCUAGACCCAGAGCCAACAGCGCCACAAAUUACUCCAUCAGCUCCCACAAUUGCGUAAAGCCAAACUCCUAUAAUAAUUCCUUCAUUCCACAUCGCAUAGCAGUUCUGCUUAUUUCAUGGCGUCCUUACGGAUACUGCCAAAACGGAAACAAAAUUCUAGAGAAUAUUCAUUGAAACGGAAUUGAUGAGUGAAAGUUUAGUUUGUAUUUUGACAGACACAGCCAAAAUAUCUUCCCUGCAUGCUGCACCAAAACGCAAACACAAACACAAAGCCUUUUGUGAGGACAGUUUUGGAAAAAAUGGUAGAACCUCAUUCAGUGCAGGUAUUGUGUGCUGAUAAGAAGGAUAAAUAAUUCUUGCUAGUUAGUUUUCUAGAAUUCCCUAAUUCCUGUCAAUCAUUUUUUAAAACUUUUUCUAACCUGUGGAAUAUGGAAAUUAGAAACAUAAUAAAAAUAUUUUAUUUUCUUCAUUUAGGGUCUCUUGGCUUUUUAUUUUCCUUAGGAAGUUCUUCCCUAUUCCAAAAGUAUAAAACAGUCUCAGCAUCCUGAGUAAUGUUUGAAUCUGUGAUUCAGGUCAUUUGUUUGCUGAUUACCUUCCAGUUGUGCUUAAAAUAGCAACAACCCUCUUUGCCAUGCCACAGAAAGGUCUGCAUGCUUUCAAUGCUGUCUUAUCCAUUUUAUUUCAGGCCUUCCUCAGUCAUACACUGACAUUCUCUUGGUUCCUUUGAUAUUCUAAAUUCUUUUCUUGCCUGUUUUUUAUUUAUAUAAAGUGAUCCAGAGUAUUCUUCUAUUAUAUCUUAAUUACUAUUUUAUCUAAAGUUUGUCGAAUUUUUAAAAAUUCCUAAUAUUUUCUUACUGGAGUUUUUCUUGCUAAGCCUAUCCUUGGCAUUAUAGGGUCCCUCCUCAUGGGUCUCCAGUUUCUCUUCAAUCAAUAGACUUAGAUAUGAAAAUAAGAAUAGGAAUAAUGAUUUUCCAGUAUAACAGCUGAUAGCAUUGUUCAGCGCACCCAUUACUGAUCCCUCUGCUUUUAUGAGCCAGGAGAUAUCCUCAUUGGCUGCCUACACAUUUUGCUCCUGGGAAACAGUCAUAUAUUAGUCAUUACCAAAGUUGCCUACAGGCCAUGAAAUUUACCAUUUUUGGCCUUGCUGUUCCGAUAGUUAAGUACCACUACCUGGCCUCUGCUACUCCAGAGUCCUAACACCCCAUUGAAAGAAAGGGACUGCUUCCACAGAAGCAUGUCCUAUCUGGUCUGUGGAAGACAGCCCUACGGAGAGUCUCAAGAACACUGACAUUCUCCUUACUGGUGCAUGUGAUAUCAUGUUAGUGAAAAGAAUAUCUUCUGGGUCAUGGUCUUAUAUAACUAACCUACUCUCGUAUGCCCACUUGUUGAGUCCUCUGGCCCCGUUCUUCAUACUCUGCCAAGGCAGUUACCACUCUACUUCGUUCUCUACAGUACAUCAUCAUCUCUCAAUUUAGAUAUCAUAUUAGGACCACCUUCAGGUGUCCUGCCAAGAUGUCAAAUUCAAAGAGUGACAAUCAGUAAACUCCUCUCACCAGCCUUCUAUUUCACCCUCCUUGGUUCGGCACCCUCGAGAUUCAUGCCAACAUAUGUUCUCUUGGUUCCUGCUGGUAGAUAUAUGCCAGGCUCAGCAGCUGUCUUAAGUUAAGAUUCCAUUUCUGCUUGUUGCAGGAUCCUCAGUUAGGCCAUGCUGAACACCAACAGUAGUGGUUGGCCUGGAAACAAGGAAAGGAAGGAGAGGCACUCUUGAUGUGGAUAAGCAUUAUCUUUUGAGGCGUUCAUCUCAAGUGAGGUCUUUGCUUUAUCUCCAGCCAGUGGUGGUAGUGGGCAGUAGUCUCCUUUGGUAAGAGAAGGGGAUACUCUUGCCAGCCUGGAGGCGUUAGGCAUAUCUGCAGAGUUUAAGCUACUCACAUAAAUCCAUGCAAAUAUUCCUAUUCUAGUCUCCAGGACAUCUGUCCUUCACUACUUCACUAUUAAGGGCCUGAUUUUAGCAUAAGCAAUUGUCAGGGUGUGAAUGUCUCCUAUGCAAUUUCCUCACUCUUGUAAUUAACCUUUCAGCUUUAUUUUAGUACAAUCUGUGCUACAGCUGCAGGAGAUCGGAUCUCUUUAAAUGCUGCCGUGGAGGUCUUUUGGCUUUCAUAGUGUAUCUGGAGUUAAUUGCUGGCUGAAGCUGAACAUUAAACAUUGUCGUCUUUUGUUGUUCUUAUUUUUAAAAAGCGGUUAAAAAAGAGAACUGGCCCCACAGUCGUUUUAGCUGCUGUUGGCACCCGUGUUUUUCAAGUGGGAGAACUAGCACAUGCCUCUCCUUUUCCUUGGACCUCGUCGUAAAGUGCCUCUGAUGAGAGUGCUGGAAGAGACAAAGGAUGGAACAGUCUCCGCGGCUGCAAAUGCCAUCUGGGAUAGAAUAAGAAGAUGUAGUUAUCAUAAAAGAAGACCAUGUGCAAAUUAAGCAACAUUCAGAACAUUCAUUAAUUCGUCUUUGUUUAGUGUAUAAGAUCAUAUGAUUAAAAUCUGGAGCUUUUACUAGUCAAUCUAGUUUUAAUUUUUGUGUUAUAUUUUAUGUGUGAAUAUUAGAGAACAAUGCCAUAUAUGACUAAAGUAGUUAAAAUAGUUUUUUUCCUACCAACCUAACAGUUUCCUUCAGAAAUGUAUUUAUGAGUCUUAGUGACUCAUAAUAGGAUUUAUGAGUCACUAAGGACUUUAGUGAGUAUUUCAAAUAGUUGGCGACCUUAAUCAAAGUUAGAACAUGAAUACGGUUAAGGUUAACAAAGAUCACCUGAAAGCACAAACAUUUACAGUUUUGUUUUUAUUGAAAUAAAUUAAAUUUGAAUAAUCGAUUUGCUUUGGUUUCCUAUGUAUUUACAACAGCAAUGUAAUUCUGAAUCCGAG
This is a long non-coding RNA of Equus caballus (horse), 4404 nucleotides long. The record is from Ensembl. Lineage: Eukaryota; Metazoa; Chordata; Mammalia; Perissodactyla; Equidae.